RNAcentral lists this ribozyme (72 nucleotides) under Rodentolepis nana. Its description in RNAcentral is "Hymenolepis nana HDV ribozyme from F. prausnitzii". It matches the Rfam family "HDV ribozyme from F. prausnitzii". The record is from Rfam by way of RNAcentral. Lineage: Eukaryota; Metazoa; Platyhelminthes; Cestoda; Cyclophyllidea; Hymenolepididae.
GGGGCGCGCAAGAGACUUACCUCCACUUGGUGCACCCUGGGCAACGUAUAAUCAUACGGCAAAGAAGUCUAU